ACAGAGAAUAAGGAUUGUUGCAAAGGGGUGGCUUUUCCAGACAGGCCAGUUGUGCAAAAGAGUGAAACGGAGCAAAAAGUGCGCGGGGGGGGGGCUUUUAUAUGGGAUGAGGAGUAAAAUAUGCCUUCACGAUCUUCCUUGGAGGAUAAAGGGGAGUUUUUGAAAAAGGAGGGGAGAAAACUCCGUAUUGCUGCCCAUAUCUGUCAGGGACACCCCAACCUGGUGGCAGCGAGGAGACCCCCUCCCCAUCCUAGGGUUGCAGGUGAUACACCCUUGGGAGGGGGGUGGGGGUGGGAGAGGACACCCGGAGAAGAGGAGGGAGGGAGAGAGGGAGGAGGAAAAGGGGGAAAGACAGCGAGCCAAAAGAGAGAGAGGGAGGGAGGAGGACCCAAAGCUGGAGAAAGAGGGAGAGGANNNNNNNNNNNNNNNNNNNNNNNNNNNNNNNNNNCCUCUCUCUCUCUCUCUCUCCCUCUCUCUUAUUCCCCCCCCCAAACCUCGUCCAACCAAGCCAAGCACCAAACAGCAAGAAGCCACCCGCCGAUCGCGCAGCCCAAAGAUGGGGAAAACUCUGGCUUUGCCCCGGAGAGCCCCCGGAUUGCCCCUCUUGACAGCGACGACGCUGGUGGCCGCCUCGGCGGCGCUGGGCUUUUGGGGGGCAGAAGCCAAGGUAUACUAUUCUUGCGGCGCACAAUUCAAAUCCAUGGAACGAGGUCUUAUUUUAUCACCUGGUUUCCCCAACAACUAUUCAUCAGGCAUCCAUUGCAUUUGGGAAUUCUUUAUCCCCGCUAGAACGUACUUAAUGUUGGAAAUCUUUGACUUUGAUGUGUUUGAAAGCAUGAGUGCGAAUCCUGAUGCCUGGGACGGGUUUCUUUCCCUUCCUGAAAAUAACAACAAAGAAUUUCUCCCCAGUGAGGAAAACAUUGACUUUCCUACCCUAUUUCCUACAGUCAGUUCUGCUCUCCAAGAGUCUAACUCAACUGGUUUUUAUAACCUUCACGAUGGACUUCCAGAGGCUGCUUCUCAAAAACUUGAAGCGAAACCAUUCCAGCAGAUAAAAGAAGCCAAAGAGUUGGGCAGCGCUAAACCAAGUAAAUUCUUGGCACCCACCAACGACACCCUACCGAGAGAAACAGGUGGCGGAGUGCAAGAGGAACACAAAAACCCAAAGGAUAAAACACUGUUUUCUCACCUCACCGAUAAAGGUGAGAGGGACAAUUCUGAGGGCUAUAAUCAACAUCCAGGAGAGGACGUGGCGAUUCCGACCACGGUGUCGCCAACGGACUCCUCUUCCACCUCAGGGCCCUCGGCUGAAAUUUGCCCUCACGACGUGUUGUACGUCUCGGACCUCUUUGCUUUUUCUUCCCGUUUCUGUGGGACGAAAUCGCCGCUGAACAAGAACAUGUCCUUCGGGUCUUCCCUCAAGAUGGUCGAGGUCAUUGUGGAGUUGAUCACAACCACGGACCGGGGGCGGGGCUUUGCGAUGCUUUUCGAGUACAAGAACGAUACCGAGCCGGUGGACGUGAGUGACUCAAAAGAGGGGAAAGAGAAUAUUAUGAUGCUGGUCAUCAUAACGGGAAUACUCUUCUUUGCUCUGGUCCUCUUGUCCUCACUCUGUAUAGCUUGCAGGUAAGUGCUGCCACGAUGGACUCCUGGUUGCCUUUCGCUUUUCCAUGUUACAAUUCCCAUGUCUUGGUCCCAAGCUAUUUUCCUGCUAAAAAAGGCCAGCCAAUGAGAAUAUUACUGGACCCUGUUUAAUUGACUGACCAAUUAAAUUAAUGCAUUCAUAACACUGUGAUUGACUAGAAAAGUGCCUUGACUCAAUAACUGUGUGCCCUCAAGGCAAUUUUGAUGUAUGGCGUCCUUCUUCAGAGUUUUCCCAGUACAGAUUAUUCAGAAGUGCUUUACCCUUCCCUUCCUCAAGGGGGCACCCUGGGACUGUGCAGCUUGCCCAGGGCUACCCAGGCUGGCUGUUCUCUCUGUAGGCACAAUGGGGGAUUAAAUUCCAAAACUCUGACUCCGCAGCCAGAUACCUAAACCACAGAGCUGUCCAGCCUUGACUUACUGAACACCCCAUACUGUAUAUAAACAACUAUUAGCUACUUAUAAAAAAAAAUGUAGGUGGCAUGAGCUUGGAGGCAUUCUCUCUGUAAACUGAAGCAUUCCAGAAGUGUUUUGCACCCAUUGGAAACAUGUGCAUUUUAUUUGGAGAACUUUUCAAAAGUGCAUGGUGUCACAGU
RNAcentral lists this long non-coding RNA (2237 nucleotides) under Pogona vitticeps (central bearded dragon). Its description in RNAcentral is "lncRNA (ENSPVIG00000016466.1)". The record is from RNAcentral. Lineage: Eukaryota; Metazoa; Chordata; Lepidosauria; Squamata; Agamidae.